RNAcentral lists this transfer RNA (67 nucleotides) under Marmota marmota marmota (Alpine marmot). It matches the Rfam family "tRNA". Rfam says of the family: Transfer RNA (tRNA) molecules are approximately 80 nucleotides in length. Their secondary structure includes four short double-helical elements and three loops (D, anti-codon, and T loops). Further hydrogen bonds mediate the characteristic L-shaped molecular structure. tRNAs have two regions of fundamental functional importance: the anti-codon, which is responsible for specific mRNA codon recognition, and the 3' end, to which the tRNAs corresponding amino acid is attached (by aminoacyl-tRNA synthetases). tRNAs cope with the degeneracy of the genetic code in two manners: having more than one tRNA (with a specific anti-codon) for a particular amino acid; and 'wobble' base-pairing, i.e. permitting non-standard base-pairing at the 3rd anti-codon position. The record is from Rfam by way of RNAcentral. Lineage: Eukaryota; Metazoa; Chordata; Mammalia; Rodentia; Sciuridae. RNAcentral also lists the same sequence under 3 other names.
AGGGUUGUGGCUCAGUGGUAGAGCACUUGCCAAGCAUGGGGCACUGGGUUCAAUCCCAGCACCACAU